CCUGACGAUGCGACGCCGCGUGGGGGAUGAAGGUCUUCGGAUUGUAAACUCCUGUUCUACAAGAAGAACGAGCAGUUAGUGAUAAGCUAACUGCUGUGACUGUAUUGUAGCAGCAAGCCCCAGCUAACUACGUGCCAGCAGCUGCGGUAAUACGUAGGGGGCAAGCGUUGUCCGGAAUUACUGGGCGUAAAGCGCACGCAGGCGGCCAUAUAAGUCGGGUAUGAAAUUGCUUGGCUUAACCAAGCAACUGUAUUCGAUACUGUGUGGCUUGAGUACGAGAGGGGAAAGUGGAAUGUACAGUGUAGCGGUGAAAUGCGUAGAGAUUGUACAGAACACCGGUAGCGAAGGCAGCUUUCUGGCUCGAUACUGACGCUGAGGUGCGAAAGUCUGGGUAGCGAACGGGAUUAGAUACCCCGGUAGUCCAGACCGUAAACGAUGGGUACUAAGUGUAGGGGAUACGACUCUUCUGUGCUGUAGCUAACGCAUUAAGUACCCCGCCUGGGGAGUACGGCCGCAAGGUUAAAACUCAAGGUAAUUGACGGGGGGCCGCACAAGCGGUGGAGCAUGUCGCUUAAUUCGAAGCAACGCGAAGAACCUUAUCCAGGGCUUGACAUAUCUCUGAUCGCCAUAGAAAUAUGGUUUUCCUUCGGGACAGAGUUACAGGUGCUGCAUGGCUGUCGUCAGCUCGUGUCGUGAGAUGUUGGGUUAAGUCCCGCAACGAGCGCAACCCUUGUCGUUAGUUGCCAUCAGGUAAUGCUGGGGACUCUAGCGAGACCGCUGGUGAAGAGCCAGAGGAAGGUGGGGAUGACGUCAAGUCCGCAUGGCCCUUAUGCCCUGGGCUGCACACGUGCUACAAUGGUCGGUACAGAGGGUUGCCAAACCGCAAGGUGGAGCGAAUCCCAGAAAGCCGGCCUCAGUUCGGAUUGGAGUCUGCAACUCGACUCCAU
This 947-nucleotide ribosomal RNA is filed under the name marine metagenome. RNAcentral describes it as "bacterial SSU rRNA". It matches the Rfam family "Bacterial small subunit ribosomal RNA", at positions 382 to 1321 of the family's 1533-position model. The record is from RNAcentral.